Nycticebus coucang (slow loris) is the source of this 105-nucleotide small nuclear RNA. The record is from RefSeq and is a predicted model, not a curated record. Lineage: Eukaryota; Metazoa; Chordata; Mammalia; Primates; Lorisidae.
GUGCUUGCUUCAGCAGCACACACACGAAAAUUGGAACGAUACAGAUAAGAUUAGCAUGGCCCCUGCACAAGGACGCACGCAAAUCGUGAAGUGUUCCAUAUUUUA